CUUCUCCAGCACGUAAUCCAGUUCUCAUUGAUUUCAAGAGCAGUUGUUUCAUCUGAUCACUAGCUAUUAAAAAGCUUCCAAAGUCAUAAAAAAAUAAAUAAAUAAAAACCUGACGCUCUGCUAGGAAUAAUUUUUGUUUUUCUCGCAGACUGCAACAGUAACAACAAUUAUAUAUAAACAUGCAUAUAUACAUAUUUCCUUUGACUUUUAUAUCUUUAAUCAUCUGGAGUUCUUCAAGCAUUUUAUACAGGUGAGUAAAAAAUAACCUUUGUUUUGCAAGCACAAAGGGGAUACACAGUCGAAGCUGAGAGAAAAAGGAGGAAUAUAAUGAAUUUUCUGCUGAGAUUAAAAAAUAGUAAAAAUAACCUUAUUAUAUGAAACAUGUUCUGGGUUUCUUUGACCAAAGAACACUGUUUACAGCCUUUUCACCCUUUUCCAGCAUCAUGAGUCUCCUUGAAAGAAGGUGUGAACAUAUAUGACAUCCUGAGCUGUAUCCUCAGUGUUAAGCUAGGCAAUUGGUAGAGUAUCAGGCAUGUGUUCUCUCUGUACCAAGAGGAUGAUUUUUAGGGCUAUUGUCUAUAAUAGCCAGUUUCCAAUUCGCAUGCUCUCAUCUGGUGUGCUGGGUGCUGGUACGCACUGCCAGCACUGCCCCCGCUGCCUAUGCCCAGGCUGUGCAGACCAGCAGCAUUCCCAUCCACGGGCAGGCAAAAGUGGACUGCUGAGGCAUGUUACGCGCAGAAGCUCCCCCAUUGGCUUGCACGGGCACCACCAAGCUGUCCCUUGUCAUCUGCCCAUGUGGCUCAUAUGCAGCUCACCACACUGCUAGGCAGAGACUGCUCUUCCACAGCAUGCUGCCAUGGUCCUUCCCCUCCCAAAAUGUGUCCUUGCCCAUGCGGAACUAGUGGUGUCUACAGGGAUGAGGAUAGAUGAUGAACCAGCCAAGUCUGAAGGCAUUAGCUGGUUGAUUAAUGUGGCAGGAUGCUGGUUAGUAUGCAUCUGAUGCUGCUGGAAACACCUGAUUUUUCUGUCAGCGUUAAUGCUUCUUAUUUGAGUGGUGAAUCUUGCUGUGUGCAUGUCUUCCUGAAUCAUUGUAGAAAGUGUUCUCUCCUGUGCAAUGGCUCCCAAAUUUGUAGCUGUUUACACACCGGGGACAGGUGCUCAGAUCUUCUCUGGUCUCCUUUGGCCUAUGUAAAUUUUUUUGGAUGUGAUCUUGUGAUUAAAAAUAAACUUUCAUGUAAGCAGGUUCCUGGGGAAGUAUUUGGCUAUUCUGUAGAAUUACAGUUAAUUCUAAAUAAGGAACACUUUAAAACUAUUAGAAGACAGACAUUCUAGCAGUUCUACAGAUGAUUAAAAAGCCAUUUUCUAAAAUAUUCUCACUGGAGGGUUUUUUUUCCUUUCUUAAAGAAAACAUUUAAUUGCUCCAAUCAACCAUAACUACUUCCUGCUUAUGAUGUAAUUUGUAUACGCUGGUCACAAGGUACAUGGCUAUUUUUCAUAAUUCUUUAUGAGUGUAUUCCCUGCAGUUCCUAUCAGUCACCUUUAAUUGACUGUAAUUCACUGGUCAUUAAAGAAGGAGAGACCAAAAUGAGGUGAAAAGAGAAGCACUCAGUGAAACCUUCUUAGCGCCAAAAUCUUAUCUGGCAUUAUCCACAUGUAUACAACAAAACCAAGCAAAAGAAAGCCUUGGAAGCAUAUGCCACCAAUGCAUGUUAACACUUGAGAAGGUAAAUAGCUCAAUUUGAUCUUCAGUGAUCAAGGAGUGGGGCUUCUCUUUGGAUCCUGGGAGAUGCAGAUAAAAAGCACCUGUACCAUGGGGUAAGGGCAGCCAUUCCCUCCACACCACUCCUUGAGGACAUAAUAUAGUAAGUAAUGGUGUCCACAUACUUCAGUGUCUCAUCAACACCCUGUCCAAGCCCUCAGACUUCCUUGAUAAAUUAUCAAGGAAUAAUCUGAGUUGGAAGAGACCCUUAAUGCUCACGUAGUUCAACUCCCCUGCAAUAAACAGGGAUAUCUGCAGCUACAUCAGAUUGCUUCAGCCUGACCUUGAGUGUUUCCAGGGACAGGACAUCCAUGCCAUCCUUACAGUAAAUAGCUUCUUCCCUAUAUCCAGUCUAAAUCUCCCCUCUAUUGGUUUGGAACCAUUUCCCCUUGUCCUGUCACAACAGAUUCUGCUAAGGAGUCUGUCCCUUUCCUUCUUACACUCCCACUUUAGAUACUGAAAGGCCACUAUGAAGUCUCCCCAGAGCCUUCUCUUCUCCAGGCUGAACAGCCUCAGCUCUCUCAGCCUGUGCUCACAGGGGAGGUGUUCCACCCCUUGGAUCAUUUUUGUGGCCCUCCUCUGGAUGCGCUCCAACAGGUCCAUGACUCUCCUGUACUGAGAAUUCCACAUCUGGAUGGAGUGCUCCAGGUGAGGUCUUAGAGGUGGAAAGGAUCAUGUCCCUUGACCUGCUGGCUAUGCUUCUUUUGAUGCAGCCCAGGAUACAGCUGGCUUUCUCGGCUGAGAAGGCACAUUGCUGGCUCAUGUCCAGCUUGCCAUCCACCAGUACCCCCAAGUCUUUCUCAACAGGGCCGUGCUCUAUCUUCUAGUACCUCAGCUUGUAUUUAUAGCGGGGAUUGCCAUGAUCCAGGUGCCGGACCAUGCAUUUGGAUUUGUCGAACCUUAUGAGGUUCACCUGGACCCACUGCUCAAGCCUGUCUAGAUCUCUCUGGAUGGCCUCCCAUCCCUCAGACAUGUUGUUAUCGUGAUGUAUUGGAUGAAUUGUGACACAGGUGAAUCAGGUUUCCAGGCACUGUACAGCAACUGCCUUUAAAUCCCACAUGUAACAAAUCCAGAAAAAAAUUAUGGUUGUUUUUUUUUUUUGGUUUGUUUGUUUUUUAAAUCAUCACUGCAUUAGCCAAGUGCUGUUGUGACCUCAAGUGCUAUCACAAGCAUUUUUUUCAUUAGACAAGGAAACAGGCAAAUGCAAUGAUUUCACCUGGCAACUCAGAUUUAGCGAACAUUGACUGUAAACACACUAAGUUCUAUACUGUAGAGUUGUGUGCAAGGUAGGGCGGUAUGGCUGUCAGCUUGCUAUAUCUUCCUCUCAACAAAAACAACUCGAUUUAAUCAAGAAAACAGAACAUGGCAAGUGAGUGCAGCUUAGAGUUUGAUGUUUAUUCAGUAUCAACGAUCUGCAUUAUCUCCUGUCUUGUCCACGGGACCAAACAUUCAGCAGUGUCUUAUCCAUUGUUUUAUGCUUGUUUUAUUGUAGAUUUGUUUCCUUGCUAGAGUAGACCCAGAAAAUACCAGGUGUGUUUUCGGUGAAAUAAUUCUGAAUCAUCUUCUCUUUUUUGAGGGAAUUGUUUUGCCCUAAGGACCAUUGCAGGAACAUUGAGCUUCUGCCCACAGUGGAUCAGCUCAGUAAAUGAACCUCUGGCAUGAUAUCUGGCGCUUCUGAUUCUAUGGGAAAUCAGCUGCCAGUGCUUUAAUUGCUAGGACCACUGUAAGAUUGCAUGCUUUCAAGGAUUCAAAACCCAAAUUUCUCUCAGUGUUUUGAAUUUUCAGACUUUCUGUGAGAGUUUCUGGAAACCAAAAUUUCAGUACGUUUUCCCCAGAGAUCUCACAGAUAUUUUGAAAGACAAAACAUUUUUAUUUGCCUUAAAAUAGACCCCAGGAGCACCUGGCAAGGACUGGUGUUAUAAAAACGAGAAACAACAGAGCAUCUGAAAGCAAAAAGCAGCCUUGGUGCCAGGCAGCAGAGCACUGGCAGUGACUUGUUGGGCUCUCCCAGCUCAUGCUCAUGGUGCCUAGAACAGCUUGGUUAGGCCUUUGAACUAGGAAAAAAGACUUGCUGCUUCCCAGGCUUUUCCAUACAUGCCUAGCCCUGCCACGUUCAGAAUGUGGCCCCUCCUUCUCUUGUAACCUUGAACAGGAAGGGCUCACAGUGUUCACUCCGACACUCCAACCUGUGUUCAUCCUACCAGAGUUCUUUCUGCCUUCCCUACGUGCAGCAACCUGUCUAAUCUCCAGGCAGUUAGUUGAAGAAGCAGUGCCCACGUUUGUGCAGCUGUGAUGGUAGCUGAGCUUCUGCUGACACAAGCAAGACUGUCCGUUUGAGUCACUGUGAGAGACUGACCUCACCCAGGAUGACUUUUACCUUUAACAGCUGGAGGACUCCUUGCUAAUGUGAGACCUGGCCUUUUUUUUUUUCUGCCUUCCAGCUCAACACACCACAGGCUGAUCAUCAAUAAAGGAAGAGGAAAUAAACAAGAGAUCCUAUUAUUAGUCCAUCACCUGCUCUUUCAUUGCUGCAGGGCUGCUCCUUUCUCUGACUGAAAAGUUUUCAAGAUGUUGUAACACAAAACAUUGCAUCCAGAAGGAGAGCAAGGCUAAGGAAAGCAGUAUGUUCCUCUGUAGUCCCUCUUUGCUCUGUAACAGUAAAACCUGACACUUUCUUGUGGUGAAUGACUAAAUAGUACAUUUGUAUAACUACUUAGCAGAACCAUUUUUCUCACUGAAGACCAAAUAAUUCUGCAAUACUUUAACCCCUGCAUUUUGGCUUGAGAUGUAGAAUCCUCAUCAAUCUCCAAACCUUCAUCAACCUUUUCAUCAAACCCUUUGUCCUAUCUACUUCUACCUGGUCUUACCAAAGAAUUCUGCCUUCUUGUUCCUAGUCAUCUGCCUUUCCACACGCUGGUUUAUUUUGGCCUCAAGACAUUUAUGGACACUUACCUGACAAGCAGGAAAAGAGAAUGGGAAAGAAGGAGCAGAAUUUAACACAGUGACAGUUGCUUCUAAAGCAUGAUGUAGUGAACAUCUGACUUUUUGCUGAAAUUAGUGCUAAGAUGCAGUGAAGCCAGGAUUUCAGGUUAAUAGUCUUGAAAGAAGAAUGACAGCCAUGACAUAGAUUUCUUGACUCUUCUCAUACACUUUUGCACUGGACAUGUAAUUUCCUGUUAAGGUUUACAGGAUUCUUCAAAAGAACCAAACAACAAAAAACACCAAACACCACCACCACCAACAAAAUAAAACCCCGUAGAAGUAAUAAUUAUUAAUUUAUUAUGUUAAAAGAUUUUUCAUAAAGGAAUACUGGAGUCCUUUAUUUAUGAUUUCAUAGUGCCUUUCUCACACUGCAUCUGAAUUAUAUUGCACUGCUUCCAGAAAAUGCAAAGAAAAACUAAAAUGCAGAAAUAAACUCUUAUUUCCAUUUUUAUUAGAGAAGUUUACAUGUUGAUUCAGUGAAUCUAUAAGAAGGAUGUCAUGCUUCAGGAGACAAGAUAGCAGCAACAUAGGUGUGUUAAGGCCCAUGUGCAGACCUUCAUUGGUCUUAUUGUGACCCAAAGAUAGGGAUUUGGAAUCGAUGGCAGUUUUAAUACUGCCUAAAGUCUCUAUCAGCCUAGAGCUGGGUACAACUCAUGUAGAUGUAUCAUACUUUCUGCCUUCCUUGAGGUCUUUAAGACAGAGGAAUUAGCAAACAUGCAAUUUAAGAUGGUAUAAAACAAGCUCCAAGGAGAAUCAGAAUCUCUCCUUUUCGCAGCUAUUUUGUGUCAGACCUAUUUAGUUUCACCUUUAUAGAAAAGAUAAGUCCAGCUAAAUAGCUCACAGUUCUAAUUUUCGUAAGGAAUGAUCCACACAGCUCAAAUAAUAACCUCAGACACAAAUGGCAGAAAGUGAAGCUUGUUCAUGGAGAGUGGCAAAUCUUUGAGUUGUACAUUCAGAGCUAUUUGUCCACAUAGUAAGAAGCACCAUGUUACUAGAUCAAAGGUGGCAAGGGCACAUCUGCAGUACUUAUAAAAUCCAUAGUAGCAGUAUUUACCAAUAAGAGUCUCCAAAUAUUCCCUGUUUUUGAAUCAGAUUAUGUACUAGAACAGCUGCAACAGACCAAACUGCAUAUCCAGUACCUGCUCAUCACAGCCAGUCUGGCAAAAAGACAAAGAGAACAAAUACAGCAAGCUUAAAUCCUCAAUCUUUGCAUCCUCUAUCAGCAACCAAAGCUGAUGGAAAACUAUGAGGUAAAACCAUCAGAAUAUUUAGCUGUAUUACAGCCAGGGCUGUUCAGCCUGCAGAAGAGAAAUAUCCAGGAAGACCUGAUAGUAGCCUUUCAGUAUCUAAAGGGGAGCAACCUGAUCUGGCUGUAGGUGUCCCUGUUCAUUGCAGGGGGGUUGAACAAGAUGGACUUUAAGGGUCCCUUCCAACUCAAGCAGUUCUAUGGUUGUAUGGACUCUGGUGGUUCGGGCACUCGGAUCUUUCCUUUAUGAGAAUCUCCAAGUAAGUGUUUCAGGAAUGUUCACAGCUACUUGUUUUUUACACUGAUGAGACUGAACAACUCUUAAGCUAAACUGGUGAAAUUCAUCCUGGGAAAAUGUGCUAAACCAAGCUUGCAUUUUAAAGAAAGAAUUUGUUUCCAGAAUGUUACUUGUUGUUUAGUGUAUUGAAUAAUUUUGGUCCCAGGGAUGGAGACAGGGUUUUGUUUAUUUAUCUGAAAAUCAGAAUUUUGCAGAGCUGUGCCAAGCUGUAAACUUUUCAAUUCUCUGAUCCUAGCACUCAGCACAGUGUCCAACAAAAGGCUGUACAAAGCCAGAGACCACUCGGGCUUCGCAGUUGCUGGCUUCAGUCGUCUUUACAAUUGUUUAUGUGAAUGCAGACCCAGGAACAGUGGCAUUAUGCCAGACCUUUCCCAGAAUCGCUGAGGGCUGAUACAGCUUCUCAUAUUAAUCCACCUCUGACAGUGCCACAACUGAGAAAACCCAGAGGGUAGCUGUGCCCUGACAGCGUCCCUCUUGCCAUGCCCUACAACACUGCUGGGGUUCUUACUUGAUGGAAAAAAUGAUUUGGCACAGACAGCCUUUGGUCAUCUGGGGAUGCCUUGCUAAGUCUUCUAUGGAACAGAGAUGUGGCCCUCCACGAGUUUUUAUUGUAUUUUACUGAUAACAUCAAAUUCAACAAAGAAACACAGAAUAUUACGGCAAGGAAAAAAAGGAGAUGGGUAUAAAACAGCAAUAAAACUGAAAGGAAAUUCAGUUUUAGAAGUUUAAAUGCUUUCACACAGCUUCACUGCAGAGGCUUGACAGUCAAAUAUUAAACAUUACACCAUCUCACUGAAUUUUAUGUCAUUAUGGUAACAAUGUUAUUAAACUUGAUAUGGCUUUACUUUUAAUUUCAAUGAAACAUAUUUCCUGAUCUUUUCAUAAAAAUGACCUUUGGGAACCAUAACAAUCUAGGCAUUUCUUUAUUUAUCCUGCUGCAUCAGCUAAUACUUCCAAUCAGAAUCUAUAUCAAAAAGAAAAUGAAAGCCCUCACCAUAAUGUUGCUAGCUUGAUGUUUUAUUAGAACAAGAUAAAAGCUGGGUUUUAUGAAAUUACUUUGUGUGUUACUGUGAGCAAGACAGUGUCAGUGCAAUCUGCUUUUGUAAAGAUUACUUUAUAGUCUUUUUGUUUCUUUCCUGUAUUUGAUACCUACUUUUUCUGUUUUGAAAAGUUUACUUUUAUAAUACAGCCUUUUCACUAAGUAAAAAAAAAGCAAAUACAUUUGUGUGAUAUCUAAGCAAGCCACUCUUUUUUUUUUUUUUUUAAAUAACCUUUUCAUGCUUUCCAUGGACAGAACAGCGGUAGUCAUUUCCACUGUUGGUUGAAUUUUAGAGACAGCUGGUAUUGCUGAGAGCCUAUGGGGUCCAUUAGACAACAAGUUGUGCAAGAGUCAGAAAAACUUGAAUCCUGCAUUUAACUCAGUUUUCCCACUGCCCUUCUCUGCACAACACUGUGGAAUUCAUAGAACACAGGAUUUUUUUUACCUCAGUUUUGGGUUAAUGAAAAAAUAAGCCUAAAGGACCUAAAGAACACUGAAAGUAUUGUCUGUACUUAACAGGCUUUGAGAAUGCUCUGAAUAUUUGAAAAUCAAACAGUUCUCUGAGUUGGACCCAGAAAAUGCCAAGUGUCCAAAAAUCACAGGGAACCACUCAAAAUGUGGACUUUGAAAUGCAGGCCAAGCCACAUUGCAAAAGAAAACCACUCUAAUAUUCAUAAAGUGGGGAAAAUGGAAAAUAAUCAGAAAUUCAUCUCAUUUUUGAGAAUAUGUAAAGUGAGAAGAAAAACAUUAAAAAAACAGAAAAGAAAGGAUCCCAUCCAUGCAGCAUUCAGAGUGGAGUUUGGUCAGGAGAAGAAAGGGGAUUACAUUCCACAAGCUGCAUUGCAUUAUGGACUGGAAAUAGCAAUAGAGAAAUAAAGCAAUAAAUGCAUAAAAGUAGGGGAAAAAAGAAACAGUUUUCAGAAUUACUGUAUUAAUUUGGAAUGAAUAUGCACUAGCGAAGUUGCUUUCUAGCUUGUCAGGUGGCCUAAUGAUGAGGAACAGUACUGACUCAAAUUCAUGUAUGAUUAUUUCUUUAUUGCAUUCUAGGUUUUAGUGGAAUUUAGGAUAAAGUUAAAUCUCUCUCACAUUUAUGAUAAGAUCAACAAAAUGAAUUCUUACUAGUGUUUCUUUCCACAGUUGCCUUGAAUUGGCUGGGUGAUCACAAAUGUAAAUUACUCUCUUGGAGUCCUGAGUAGAAAACUGAAUCUCUUGAAAGAAGAUGCAAUAGGAAAAAUUCUUCCUUCACAUGUAACAUUUCCAAGAAGCAUGUUUCUCUGUCAGUGUAAUAAAAGGAAGAAUUAGAUCAAUAAUAUUUUCCAUAAUUUUUUGACAUCAUCAUUUGAUUUUAGGCCUGGAUCUUCAUUAAUGCAGAAAAUGCUAAUUCAUUUUGUUGACCACAACAUCAUGCUUAAAUUAAAUAUUACUUAGCAACCAGUAUUCAGCUUAUUGCUGGCCUGAGAUCAUUCCGACUGUUAGGUCAAAUGAGGAAUUGGGAGAUCUGCGGUACAUAACAGUGGUAAAUAUUGUCCUGCAGAAAUUUACUUUGAUUUACAUGAAGAUGUGUUAUGAUCGCAGCCUGUUUUUUUUACAAUUGAAGCAUACUGGGAAUAGCCUAGACAAAACGUUUCUCCAUGCAACAGCAGAGACUCAACAGAUUCACAAACUAUUAGCUUGUCAGGUUCACACUUUCCAAUAAAAUGCCAUGGAAAUUUAAGCCAUAUUGUAUAAUAUGGCACAAACAUACCCAGUCUACACCCACUCAAGCACUUCUUAUUAGGCCAAAUCUCCCAACAACACACAAAAAGAUUUUUCAGGAGUUGGGAAUGUUUCAUCAGACCAUACAUGUCUAUGAAUAACAAGCUCAGGUUAAGUUGUCAGGUGUAAUGGGAUUAUAAGCAUCAAAAGCACGGAACGAAGGCAAUAGUGGUACAAGCUCUAAUUUUGCUAUUGCUUGAUAGGAGAUGAAAUUCACCAAAAGACGUCUUAACCCCAAAGGAAGCAGGUGGCUUUCCUUGAGCCAGAGUGUCAUCCAUUGUUUUCAAGCGGCAGAGGUGACUGAUAGCAUCGUUGACAUGAAAAAUUAAGGUACUUUUUCCUUCAGAAAAGGCUUGUUUUUCAUAAAACAGAAUAACUGGAUGGAAGAAACCCUUUCUGAGGAGUGUUGGGGGUUUCUAAUGCUGCAUUCCUGUCGCUAUGUGGUGCUGUUCGAAGUUAUAAAGCCGAUCCUCUAGAACCUGCCUAUCUCAGGGUGUUAAGGAAAGGUUUGUCAGCAGGAGGUUGGGAUGGCUUCAGCAUGCACCAUCUACAGCAAAACCACCAAAUGCUGACGGUAAGCAGAUAUUUCUACUCUUGGGAAGGCUUUUUCAUGUUAUCUUUGUUAGUUGUGUUCAAGAUAAGGAGAGAGGUGAAGUUUGCUACUCUGUCCUUGGAGGUUUCCGCUCUCUCCAGAGCCUACAUGUUAGGUUUGGUAAGGGAAUUUGAUGUAAGAAGAUUUUAGGUGGAUGCAGCUAUUUUUCUGGAAGUUGAGUUUCUUUGCAGUGGCUACAACAGGCCAGGAAGAAAAAUUGAGAGUUGUAAAGUUUUAAAAUUAAACUUUAUGGUGCACCUUAUUUAAUAUGCUUUUUUUUUGAAAUCUCUUCAAGGGUCAAGGGUAGCUACUACAGCAAAGAGAAAGGAAAGGAAGAGGGAUAUCUGCAGUAUUGCAAACUCCUAUUUGAACUUGAUAAUGUGCUAAAGAACUUGUAUGAGAGUUUGGUUUUGUUUUUCCUUCAAAGGAGACUACUGAAUCUAUGGCAUAUCAAUCUGUAUUCUUUGUCUACUUGAUCACUCUUUGCUUGCUAAUGAGAAACUGAUGAUUUUUGACUUGCCUCUUUGGAUGAAGUGGGGCUGUAUUUGUAAGAGCAAGAAGAAUUUUUCAAGAACAUUUUAAAUCAUAUUGGAGUCAAAACCAUGUGUCCCUAGGCCAUAGCUUGAUACUCUGUCAGCCAAGAGCCAAUGCUGUAUUCAUCCUUAAAACUGAAAGAAGGAAUGGUCCAUAACUGUUGUGAUGUGGGCAUAGUGGCUCUAAGAAUCUGAAGGGAGUUGACCUUUUUCAUACUAAUGUUCCAUUGCUGCUAAUAAAAAAAAAGAAAAGAAAAAAGUGCCCCCCCCCCCCCCCUUUUUUUCCCCAGAGAUAGGAAUAGAAAGAAAUAUUACUAAUCCUUUAGUAAGAUCUAUGUAUUCUAGUUGCGGUGAAAUGAGAAAGGUCAAAUUUUCUCUCCCAUCUCUCCCUCCCUUUUUUUUUUCAUAUUGUCCAAGUUCUCACCCAUCUUUGUUGUACUAAUGAAAUUAAGAUAUCCUUCAUGAUAUAACUGUGAGCUAGGGAGAUCUAAAUUACCUUCAUCUGGCAUCAUUCCAGGAUACUAUAAAUGAGGUAAUUGUCCUUGACUAUAAAAUUUGCAUUUUCAAGACUUAAUUGCUAUCAUUACAUCUUUUUGUAAUUCUAUUAAUUUAACUGAAUGGAGCAUUUGGUUUUAUGGUAAAAAUUUGCAUUAAAACAUUGUACAUUUAAAUAGAAUUUUAAUAUUUGCGUCAAAAGCUCAGUACAGUUGUCCCACAGGACCUAAAUAAUUUCACAAGAAGAGAAUUGUAAGCAGUCACACUUUGGGUCAACAAACAGGUUUUCCUUUGGUGAAUAUUAAUAUAACUUGCUGUUAGAGACACUAUGUACUGAAAAUCACUCCUGUCCAAGUUCUGUAAAAGCGUCUGUGAGCUCUGAGCCAUAAUUGCUAACAGGAAAUGUAUUUUAACAGCUACACUGUUUGUUCACAGAAAAGAAAUGUGCCAAAGAGCUCUGUAUUAUUAAGGAAUGGUCUUCCUCUUUUGAGUCCUCCUACCCUAGUUAGGCUGUAUGCUUUGUUAUGGCCUGAGAAAUCACUAAGUAUGCAAGCAAUGCCUUCUGUACGAUCGUCUGUCUGCUCAUAGUUGUCUAGCCAUCUUCCACUGUGCUGUUAAAUGUGGUAAUUGGUUAGUAUGCUGGCAUCUUUUUGGGAAAUAUUUACAACCACCACAGGUUGGUGGCCCUGCCUGCAGCAGAGGGAUUGGAACUUGAUGAUCCUUGGGUGUCCCUUCCAACCCAAGCCAUUUUAUGAUUCCAUGAUUCUGUGAUUUGAAGGAACAGAACUUCAUGUCUGGUCUUUGAAGGUAUUUAAGCCACUAGAUCUCAUGGGAAGCAGAUCGUGUGUGGGUCUGGAGGCCCUGUCUUGGAUGGGCACUGCAGGUAAAAAUGAGUACAUGGAUGUGCUGACAGAAUUCCGUGCUGACAGGAUUCCAUUCUGGUCAGAAAAGCCUAUGCUAUUCUCUAUGCUGUCCUGACAGAUGUUUUAGAGUUGUAUAACAUAUUAUUUGUGGAAGUAAUCAAGCUAGAUUUGUUUUAUAUUUAAUGCAUCUGUAUUUUUUUCUCUUGAGUUUUUUUUCCUGCAACAUGUGAGUAAUAUUUUACAAGAGGGAGUCUGCUUGUGACAGAAAUCUCAUUAACUACUCUUAAUAUAUGUUGUAUUUGCUGGACUUCAUAAUCAUUGUGUAAUUAAGCUUCACAACUCACUUGUGAAGCAGAAAAGAUGAAGGAUGUUUUUGUUAAAAAAAUUUAUGGGAUGUUGAAAUUAAAGACAGAUUUCUGAAAGUGUACAGGUACCACUUCUCACUGAUUUCAGUGCCUAAAUACCUAUGAGAGCAUGAAGAUCUUGCAAAACUGUCUAGUGAGCCAUUAGAACCAGACUAAAUUCUGAACUGGGAGAACAGGAUGAAGUCUUAAUGUGAGAUAAUGACUUUGGAGCAAGGGACACAGUUGUUUUGCCUUUUGCUCUUAAGUCUUGAAUGAGAAUCACAUUUCUUCACUUUGGGGACUGUUUGAUAGUUCAGUGUGUUCUGAGAAUACAUUUUAAAUAUGACUAAUUUAAGAGCAGGUACCCCUCCCUUUUUCUUCUAAGUCCAUUUACAUAUACAGUAUUUCUAUAGAGGUUUUUGUCUCCACUGGAUUCUGAGUUUCACGGACUGGGGAAAAAGGGCUGCUGAGAGCUACAGCUCAGCGUUGAGCCUCCAAAUCCUACAAGCAUUAGAUCUACAAUGCAGUUAGAUUCAGAGCUGUCUUUUUGGGCAUGUGCACAGGGUAAGAAGUCUCCCAGGGUAUCUGUUCUACUCAGAGGCUGUCUUUUCCACUUCAGGGAGGACCCUGUGUAUGUUCUUUCUUAACGGGUGAAUUUCAUUUGAUCUGAACAUUAUGCUAAGGCUGAAUUUCUAGGCAGUUUAUAUUAUAUUGCAUUAGGAAAAACAAACAAACAAAAACGCUUAUUCCUUUGAAAAACCCAGGUCUAGCUGUUAGCGUCAAUUACUUUAAGCACCUACUGAAUUUUCUGGCAUAUAUAUCUCAUCGAAUCUUGGGCGUGAUUUUAUGUGCUUUAAGCAUUUGAUCACAUAAUCAGUUUCUGCAAUGCAACACACAGAAUCCUGAGCAUUGUCCUGGCGGAUAGUCACGUCAAACCUGACACAAACAAACAUAAGGGAACAAUUGUUGUUAAAACACAUUGCAUCACAUUGCAUGUUAAAGCAUUUGCUCUGGUAAUCCACCAUGCUGACGUUUCCCUAUGCUGAUGCCAUCUGAGCAGGGACUGUAUCCUUAAAGUUGACAUGUGCAUCACAUUACAGCAGUGAUUUUGUUAUGUAUCAUUGGCAUAAUGGAUAUUCAGAAGAGAUUCAUAAUCUUGAAAGGUGGCUUGAAUCCACAGAUCUCAUCCAUAUUCUGGUGACUCAGAGCAUUGUGGAAACUCAUUUUAUAACGUCUCACGCUAUCUUGGGCAAAAGCAAAGUAAACAGUUGCCUAGAGCAGCAGACUUGGGAGAAAUGCUGUCCGGGUCUUGUUUCCUACUCCCUCUUUGCUGACGAAGAUAGGAGCAAAAUCUCUUUAACCUGCUUCUCCUGUGCCCCUCCUGCUCCCAUUUCUCCAGUUUAAUUCUGGUGGAAAUCCAGAGGCCUUUUUCUUCCCUCUCCCAGUCUCUUCUUCUCAUUCACUGUUACUCUUAAGUUGCUGAUUUCUCCAGACUCUUCUUCUCCUUGGAGUCUCCACUGCUUCUACUUAGGGUGUUUCAGCAGUGAGAGGAUUCACUGUCCUUUCUGCAUCUUUUUCUACUCCUGCAAAUAUUUGUAUUCCUUUUGGUAGCCUGAGCUAUGUGAGAAACGCACAUUCCUGCACAAAAGUAUUCUGGCUCACUUGCCUAUUGGUAGCUGUUCCUUUAAAAGAGCUUUUUCACACUGGAAAAAAACAGACAGACAUGGAAAUCUUUGCUGUAGUGCUCAUGUUUCAUGAGAUUAAACAAGACAAAAGUAAGAUGAUGUCAGCGUAUUACUGAAUCCCUGGGAAGGUGUGGCCUGUGCUGAUGGCAAUGCUAUUCACACAACAUAGAAGGCAAUUGCAGAGUUCAUUGCCAUGGGAUGUUAUAGAAGCCAAAAGGCAAGGGUGGCAAAUCAUUCCAUAAAUGGCUAUUAAAUGUAAUUAUCUAGAUGCAGUGUCAAGCUCAGGAAACACCUUUAACAGUGGUUGCCAGAAAGCUAUUUGGCUAUAUCAGUGCAAGGAUCAUCUUCUCCAUGCUCUGCCCUUGCACUAUCUACAGCACUGACUGUCACUCCCUCUAUUCCUGAGAUGUGAUACUCUGCCAAAUUCACUUUUGGCCAUGUCUGUAUCAUAGGCUUUUGUUCUCAUGAGUUGCAUGACUAAAGAGACUAAUAAUUAGAUCGAAUCCAUUGUCUCUUCAUCCAGAGACUUUUAAGUUUUAACAUACGACCAAGAGUUCCUGCUUUAACAGUGCUAAGGUUUGAGCUUUCAGUCCGUAAGUCAGAUGUGCCUAAUGGUUAAGGUGUACUACCGCAGAGUUAGUAAUCUGAAAGUUAACUUAUUUGAAAGAGAAGAGAAACCUACUCCACAUGGCAGUUCCUCCUGUGUGUUGAAAGCUUUCCUUAGCAUGAGAAAAAUUAUCAAGAUUGAGCCUUCUACUUCUCUUAUGACUUUUGUACUUUUGUCCAGUGAGCUUGGUAGCUUUGUCUGCAAAAUGAACAGAGUUCAGAGAGAAAAUGCUAUUUGUUCUUCCAAGCAAGAAAGCAAGUUCUUAGGUGGUAUGCAUGGGUGUUGUUCAUGCAUGUCCUACGUGUCCUUCCUAAUGGAUUUAUUUUUUCUUUGUCUCAAAGCUUUGGAUUGCCUUAACUUGCUGUAUUUGUCCAAUUCCACUUCCUUCUGGCAUACAUGUUAUAUACUCAUUCUUACUACGUGCACCAAAAGAAGCUGCAGAGAUGUGCCACCCUUAUACAGUAACAAAACAGCAACUUUCCUCCUGCAACUUCCUUAAAUCAGCAGAUUGGCUGUUUGAAUUAUCACUUACCAGAGUGAUGACAGAAGUCUGUGGAAGGCUUCUUCCAUGUUGGUAUAUGUACAGCAACUAUAUACAAAAGAGAGCUGCAGAUCUUUCACUCAUUUGACUCAUUAUUUUUGCUUAAGGAAAAACAUGUUGAAGUCAAGCUUUCAGUCAUGUUAGAAUGCAGCCCAGUACUUUGAUGUAGUGCAGCUUGUUGAAUGCUCCUUUGGAGAUUGAUAUGUCUCACUCCCGAUAUCUCAAAACAACCAUAAUUUUUUUGGAUGGUACUCAUCUUUAUUUUUCUGGCAAAAGAUCUGGAAGCAGGUAAGGAUCAUACUGUAUGUUCCUUGCCCUGUUGAAGAAAGGGACAGGUAGUUGUUGCUUGUUCUUAGUGAAAACAUAUCACAGGAAAAAUGGCCCUAUGAAAGCAUUUCUAAGAGUUUACUGAAAUAACAGUAGCUCUUACAGAAAUAAAAAUCUAUCUGAAAACAAGUUUUUCAAGUUGUACUGAUCAUCUUCUCAGAAAAUUGUAGUCAAGUUUCUGAAGCCAUAAGUGUUGCCUUCAUCUCUGACAAAUGAAGUAUCUAAGUCAGCAGCCCAAAGUGAAUUCUGUGUGCAAAGAGGCAAGGAAUUCUUGAGAAUCUCAAUAAAAGUUACAGUCUCCCUUUGAUUAGUGGAGGUUGGAGAGGAAAGGGAAUGUGUGACCAUUCAUCACAGCUCCAGGCUCAUUAGUACCCAGGAACUUUCUACUCUAAAUGACAAAGAGUUUCACCGUCGCCAAAGAGAAAUUGCUGCUGACCUUAGACCUCUUUUUGGAAAGUAAAAUAAUGGAGCACAGGAGCAGAGUUUGAUAUUUGACUGAAUUCUACACAAUUAUCAUGCAUGUGUAUAUAAUAAAAUUAAUUCUGUGUCUCUGCAUUGUAGCCUCCGGCAAGCAGCGUACAAUCAGUUUUGUAUGUAUAAUAGAUCACAGAGUUGUUCAUGAAUAAUACAAAUGCAUUGAGCAGAUACUAGUGAGUGAGGAUGUUUGUCUUUGCAUGGAAUCGAAGUGAACAUGUAAUAUUGUGAUAAUAUAUAUUUGAUGAAUUCAGGUCUGACUUGCCUUUGCCAUAGCCUGCUAAUUCCUUGACAAGGGUUGCCACAAUAAUUGAGUUUCCAAUAACAUUAUGAUUAUUUCCACAUGAUAAUUUAAUUGUAGGUAUUUUUUAAUAUUGUAAUAAUGUAGAUUUGUGAUUAUUAUGCAUUUGCAUGCAGAUUUUCAUGGUGACUUGGAGCACAUCCCUACAUUUAUAACUUAAUUUCCUAUAUUAUUGCAAAUAUAUUUUGGGAUGAACUCAUUAAUGCAAACUAAGGAAAAAAAAGGUCUUUUUACUUGUUUUGCCUUUAUUAUAAAUGGCUGAAAGCUUUGCUCAUUUUUUUUUUAGACCAGUCUAAACAAGUGAAUAAACAAAAGACAACUGUAAUUCACGGAUGGAUUAAUUUAAAAUAAUAAUAUAAUUACAAAUCGUGGCAGAUUUGUCUGAGGUAAUCAGGCUGCAGACUGGUACAAAUUUUUCAUUUGUGAAACAAAACUUGUUUAGAUUAAUCACCAAGUUUCAUAUGGGCUAUUUUCCAUUCUUCCAGUUCCCCUAUUUAAGGCACUGGCAAAGUAACUUCGGCUAAAAAUUAAUGGAUUCCUAUAUGAGUGGAGGUAGCAACAGCAAUGCCUGGGCAUCUGGAUCUAACUAGGUAUUAUUUUGUCACAUGGUAUGCCCCACAAGAACCGAAUUAGGUAUAGAGAGUCAUGAUGCUAGCAGAGCUUUUAACUGUUUCUUUUGGUCUUCUGUGAAAAGAGGCUGGUUACCUUGCUGCUAUCAGCCUUUAAAAGUACCUUAGAGAAUCUUUCUGGAGACACAGAGAGGGGCAAAGGGACAUAGCCAUUUCCCUAGAAAUAAACUCCAUUCUUAUUAACUGGAGCAGAUAUUCAUAUCAUCCUAUUAGCAUCCUGCUUCAGAUAAGAGAGCUCUCUUCCAGUCAUAUCUAAAAUUUGUUUUUAGCACAGUAUUCUUCUAUUUUGAAGAGAAACUUUCCAGAAGUGGUUACAUGGAGCUUAUAUGUUGGUCCUUCUACAACAUGUACUUGAGAAAAAUGAAAAUCUUUGCCAUGUUUUAUCUGUAAAACCUCAGGUCUUCAAACGGAACCCCAGAGUCACAAUGGUGGAAGAGUUCCUGGCCUCCUCCAGGUUAUCAGUACCUGGCAGGAUGCAUUUUCAUUGCCUGCACAGCAGGCACGUGCAAUAGGAGCUCAGAAAAUACCCCCAUUUUUUGACGUGGAUGUCUGUAAGUAAGGACUGAAAAAUAUAAUUUACAGCUAUCCUUUUGCAUUGCUCUUCAAUAUGGGCAAAAUCUGUUGGUUUCAUUGUAUUUGCGCAUGCUUCUACUUUGGGUGUAUUCUCUAAAUUAACUAUGCAGAUCACACGGUGAGACCUGUACAAGUCCCUUCUCUUCCAUCUUUUCUUGCUAUGUGGUCUUAAGGCUUGUACAGAAAAAUAAAAGCUUGUCCUAGACAGCAAAAAGAUCAGCUACACAAAGGUUAGGAAUUGCAAGAGUUCAGGUUUUGGCCCGGAAACUGAAACUUGCAAUUUCUUGACAUCUGGGAUCCUUUCUUGCGGAGGAUAGAGGGCAUUCAGUUCAACUCCAUUCAGCAGAAGUGGAUUUGCAUCCAGGCAACAGUCAGUAGUGUGAGGGGUAAGAUGGCCUCUCUCUGCUCCUAUGCUGUGACUUGAGGGCAAUUGUAUUUGCUGCUUUGCUUUCAGUACUUAAGAAGGAAGUGUUUAGCAUCAGGUCGCUUGGAAGGCUUCUUCUGAUGUAAAAUAAUUUGUUGUUUCUGUUGUGUCACUUCAGUCAAGGAGAACAAAAAAAUGUAUAUACAUAAUGUUUAGUUUUCUCGCAACUGUUUUUUUUCUGUUUGUGAACUAGUGGGAACAUACAGCUUCUGUGAGGUAGAGGUGUGGCCUCCUGUGCAUAGACUGACAUUUCCCAGCAUGUUUUGAAGGAAAGCAUUCUUCAAAAAUCAUUUGAGUAAGGAGCUAUUUAUACAUUGCUCAUUGUCCCUUGUGCUUGAAAAUAUGUGGUUCAUACCUACUAGCUGUUCUUCUCGUAAUGGUGAAGGUUUAUUGGUCAUAAUCCUGAAGGUCCCCUGUGUAUCAAGUGAUCGCUGAUUGUAUUGAAAAGGAAUGCUUCUGUGGUAGCAGGCAGCCCUUGGGUUGAAAGAGGUGUCCCUUGUCCCUAAGCAAUAACCUGUACAGAUGAUCGAGACUUGUUGAUAGACCUCCACGGAAGUCUUGCCUGGUAGCUGGGGCUUGGCAGUGUCUGACUCAGUGAGGGAUCCUUCUGUGCAGGAUGACUAAACUUGAUUUGUUGCCCUCAUCAAGGAGGGCAUAAAAGUAGGCAAAAACAGAACAUGCCUUGAGGACCAGGCAGAUGCAGAUUUACUGCAACCUCUGUCUUAUGAGUGGGAGGAGGUAGGUAGAAUUUACAAAGUACAAUUAUUGACUAAUUGCUUCAUCGCUGAGUCUGGUAAGGAAUCAGUGAUAUGUCUCCUGAGAGAUCAGUGGUGUCACCUCACAUGUCCUCAGGGUGCCAAGUGGUAUAAAGCGCUCACUUUGAAAGCACUGCACCGUGAUAAGCUCCAACUCCCAAGGGAUGUAUUGUGUGUACAUUUUGUUAUCUAUAAUGACACGCUGAAAAGGUAAUGAAACUGUUAAGGGAACGCUGCGUGCCUAAAAAGAACAUAUUUUUCUUUGAACCAAUAAGAGAGAGAAAGUCUUUCAGAAAAGCAGUUAAAAUAAUAUCAUUUAAAUGUAACAAGUGAUAAAAUACUAGAGAGAAUUCACCUGUCAAAUGAAAAAGUUUAAGACAUGUAGUCUUCUGUGUAACAUACACAUUUCAGAUUGGACUGUUUUCCUGGUAAGGCAACAGACCUCUUCAAAGAAGUUGAUAUAUAUAUACAAAAUUUUGAAUCUGACACAACUGGCAUAAUGGAAACAAUUAUUUUAGAAAGUGGAUAUGAAGAAUAAAUCAUAAAAUAUAGUCAUUUCAUGUAGUCAUUCUUUACAUUAUAUGAGACGCUAUGAGAUUUAACAAGACCAGAGUUGUGAGACUCUGGGAGGUUUUCAGCAAAGGUGAUUUUGUAAUAAAAUAGCUCAGUGCAUAUAAAAAAGAAUACCCUUAGAGAUGUCUAACAACAAUAUUUUGAAAUUAGACUAAAAAAGGCUCAUGUUCUCUUCAACAAAAUUCCGUGUGGACAUAUUCAAAAUUUUUGUAUGGCCUCAGUGUGCUUGGGACCAUUUUCCAGUAGAAAUGUUUUUUACUUACAAUAUGUAUGGAAAUGUACGUGAGUGUUUUCUUUUGUUUCUAAUGCGAAAGCAGAUGCCUUCCCUAAACUUGACACAGAAUGAAAUCUGAGGAUAUGAAAUCCCAGUCAGCAAAGUGACAGAGCAGUUGGGCAAAUGUGUUUUAGAUGAACUUUAAAUGCAAAAUUCAAAUUGUACAAAUAAUCUAUUUGUUGUUAUUCAGAAAGAAACAAAAACUCAUAAGAAAAGUGAAUUGGAUAGAAUAGUAUGAUCGUAUCUUCUAUUACCUCAGUACUGGCCAUCAAUCACUGUCAGUUAAUUAUCAUUAAGAUUGCAUAAAAAAGGCUCCUGUGGGAGCUGGAUGGUCUGUGAGGUUCGUUCUUUCAUUAAAACAAGGCAAACAACAUAAGCUUUCUUUUUUUCUUCCUUUUUUCUUUUUUAUCCCUCCAUCUGAGCCUUUUGUAUAUAAAGAGAUGAUGUGGGGAAGGUGAAUUUUGAAGUGAGUAAUUGUGCUGAGUUACCAUAUAGAUGGCAGGGGCAAGGUAUUAGAACAAAGGAUUCAAAAUUGAAGUAGUCAUUUGUUGGGAAAUUUAAAGAAUUUAAAGUUGGUGUGUUUUUUUUUUUUUUUUUUUUUUUUUCCUGAAAAAACACCCACAAAUAGAGCCAGACAGUAGCAUGGCACUUUCUAAAGUCAAAGCUUAUGAGUUCUUUUCUUAGUUUUCACUUCAUAAUUAACUGGGCUGCUUUUAAGCCUCCAGGGUUUAUACUUUUCAAUGAAACAUACAGUUUGGAAACUUCAGUUUUAGAAAAGAGAUAAAAGUUACCCAACUCCAAAGCGUGAUUCUUUGACAGUGCGCUAGACAUCCUGAAAAUUAGUGUGAGUCGCAAAUACAGAAACUUUCAGAGUUUAUCAGCUAAUCUAGGGGACUCGUGCACUUAGCUGCUUGACGGUGGCAGGAACAGGAAUGCACUAUAGGACAUAAGCAGCUACUGUUAUUUUCAUGGUAUUUCCCUGCACUGCUAAGCAGCAGUUCAGUUCACACUUUUUGAAGUGUCAAGGUUCAUUGAUGGUGCUCUUCAGCAUCACAGACUGAGGCUAGUACUUGAGUUCUGCACAACUUCUGCCUUUAACAUGAAGUUGGCAUUGAAUCAGCUCAUGCUUGCUCAUCGUAAGGACCAUGAAGUUAUUGUGGCAAAGCUCUCUGUUAUGCACAAGAACAAGUUAAAGACUGAAACCUUCAGGACCAAAGACCUCUUCUCCUCAGUAGGAUAAUAAAUUCAAAAUACACGUACUUUUCAUUAGCCAUGUUUAGGCCAACUGCCCAAACAAACUUAAAGUCGGAGUAAAUGCAAACAAAACUAAUAAAUCUCAAAACAGAAUGAAGUCUUCAGCAAUGGUGACCAAUGAGAAGUAGCGAGUGACUUAAACAAGAGUGGAACUGCCCCAGUUAGGGCUGUUCAGGCUGAAUAUAGCCCUUCAGUUCAAUCUAUCUGCCCCUUGUCAACCUCUUUCUCCUGGGGAGGCCUUUUUGUCUGCAUCUAUCCAGUUUGCAGGCAGCACUUAGUGUAUGAUGGGCAGCUAGAUGGUUGCAAGGUGGAGAUAUGUGUUAAGAUUGGAUCAGGUAACUCACUGUGUGUGCAUCCCAGUUUUCUUUAUUGGCCAUUUGCUGACAUGAUGGAAAAGACUGUACUUUGGUUAUGAUCUCAUCAAGGAAACUGGUUUAUACUCUUAUAUGUUUGGUCUCUGUCAUGUGUUGAGUUUUUCAUUCUUAGUUGGCUAUGCUAAUAGAGAAGGAAGGUCUUCCAGUGUCUGUUUUGUUUUGCAAGAGGUGGGACAAUGUUAGCAAGUCUGGAAAGUACAGAGGGAAGAGUUAGGCCACAGCAAGAAGGGACAGUGCAUCUUGAAAGAAAACUGAGAUGGAAACCCUAACCUCUUCUAAUUUACAUAUGGUGACAUUUUGCAGAAAUAUUGUAACAUUAGCAGUGGCAUAAUGAAAUUCUGCCUAUCAGCCGUGGAAGAAAUAAUGUUACUAUAGAGGUAACCUGUUCACAGUUUGUUAUCAAGAAAAUAUUCAUGCCAAGAAACAUACAUUUACCAAUGAGUGUUAAGAACAGUGGUUUUUUUCCUUAUAUUUUUUUCUUCGUGGGCUAUCCAUCUUCCCCUCCAGAUUUACUGCAUGAUCACUCCCUUUACAUGCUAAUUAUGUGCAGCUCUGGUGAAUUUGUUAGUAGUGACACUUCGGGCACCCAGUGGGACUGCAACUCAUUAUGUGGCAAUGUCCAGAUAUAUCAGAUAUUAUUAGCUGUCAUUAAUCUGCUGUGGAAACAUUGAGUGCACAGCCAGGAGAGAGACCAGGAAAUAGAGUAAAAAUGAAGUCUGCAACUGCCCUGGCCCCCAAAAGGUCAGAGAGCAAAUCAGCAGGAGAGAAGAAUACACCUUAAAAUGGCCAGUGCUUAGUAGCAGAUUUUUAACCCAUUGUAAACCAAUAUUUCUCAGCAUAGGAAAGACAAAAAGAAAUGAUGCUGUUUGUAAUGACUGUAUGACUGUGCUUUACUGCUGGAGGAAGGAAGACAUUCUCUCAAACUACUGCUUUCUGAGGGGAUAUUGUAGAAUCACAUCUCAGAAAGAACAAAAGUGUGUGAAGAGAAGGAAGAGUAAGCAAAUAGCAGUAUUUAUCUCAAUGUGGAUAGCACCAAAGCUCAAAUCUUUGAAAUUACACACAUGUAAUUCAGCAUAUGGCUUGGCCUUCUCUACGUUUGAAGGUAAUGUUUUAUAGAACCAGACUUGGCAGCAGCAAAAAUCCUGUGGGAAUCAAGAGCUUGCUCUUGCUGUUCAUAUAGUUCUGGAAUUACAUGCCUGUGCUCACUAGUGCUCACUAGCAUUUGUUAUGCAGCUUAAAAACAAAAAUCAGGAUACAUUUUUGGCAUCAAUUCUGAGAAGCCGUCACUUAUAAUAGUUAUGCUUAUCUGUGAUUAUGUAGCAUUAAUUACAUUGCUUCGGUAGCAGCAGUAAAAAUGAAG
Long non-coding RNA from Gallus gallus (chicken), 22057 nucleotides. Lineage: Eukaryota; Metazoa; Chordata; Aves; Galliformes; Phasianidae. The record is from Ensembl.